CGGAUUAGCGGCGGACGGGUGAGUAACACGUGAGUAACCUGCCUUAGACAUUGGGAUAGCCUCGGGAAACCGGGAUUAAUACCAAAUAAAAUCAUAAUGACACAUGUCAUAACGAUCAAAACUCCGGUGGUCUAAGAUGGACUCGCGUCCCAUUAGCUAGUUGGUAGAGUAAAAGCCUACCAAGGCGACGAUGGGUAGCCGGCCUGAGAGGGUGAACGGCCACAUUGGAACUGAGACACGGUCCAA
This 246-nucleotide ribosomal RNA is filed under the name uncultured Eubacteriales bacterium. RNAcentral describes it as "uncultured Clostridiales bacterium partial 16S ribosomal RNA". It matches the Rfam family "Bacterial small subunit ribosomal RNA", at positions 88 to 334 of the family's 1533-position model. The record is from RNAcentral. Lineage: Bacteria; Bacillati; Bacillota; Clostridia; Eubacteriales.